AGAAAAUAGUUUAUUAAAAUAUUAAUUUUGGAGAUUAAUGAAAAAGAAAUUUCUUUUUUUCUGAU
RNAcentral lists this transfer RNA (65 nucleotides) under Erotylinae sp. 4 ACP-2013. RNAcentral's name for it is "tRNA-Pro". Lineage: Eukaryota; Metazoa; Arthropoda; Insecta; Coleoptera; Erotylidae. The record is from RNAcentral.